AACAGCCGCGGUAAUUCCAGCUCCAAUAGCGUAUAUUAAAGUUGUUGCAGUUAAAAAGCUCGUAGUUGAAUUUCGGGGUUCUACCGUUGGUCAGACUAUUGUCUGUACUGGCGUGUAGAAUUUCUACCUUCUGGGGAACUAUCAUGUUAUUAAUUUAGCGUGGUAGGAAACCAGGACCUUUACCUUGAAAAAAUUAGAGUGUUCAAAGCAGGCUUAUGUCUGAAUACAUUAGCAUGGAAUAAUAAAAUAGGACGGUGGUCCUGUUUUGUUGGUUUCUGAAUCACCGUAAUGAUUAAUAGGGAUAGUUGGGGGCAUUAGUAUUCAAUUGUCGGAGGUGAAAUUCUUGGAUUUAUUGAAGACUAACUACUGCGAAAGCAUUUGCCAAGGAUGUUUUCAUUAAUCAAGAACGAAAGUUAGGGGAUCGAAGACGAUCAGAUACCGUCGUAGUCUUAACCAUAAACUAUGCCGACUAGGGAUCGGACGAUGUUAACUUUCUUGACUCGUUCGGCGCCUUACGGGA
RNAcentral lists this ribosomal RNA (520 nucleotides) under uncultured Glomeromycotina. RNAcentral's name for it is "SSU rRNA". It matches the Rfam family "Eukaryotic small subunit ribosomal RNA", at positions 569 to 1095 of the family's 1831-position model. The record is from RNAcentral. Lineage: Eukaryota; Fungi; Glomeromycota.